CAGCAGCCGCGGUAAUACCGGCGGCCCGAGUGGCGGCCACUCUUAUUGGGCUUAAAGCGUCCGUAGCCGGGUUGGUUAGUCUCCCGGGAAAUCUGGCCGCUUAACGGUCAGAAUUCCGGGAGAUACUGCCAGCCUAGGGACCGGGAGAGGCCGAGGGUAUUCCCGGAGUAGGGGUGAAAUCCUAUAAUCCCGGGAGGACCACCUGUGGCGAAGGCGCUCGGCUGGAACGGGUCCGACGGUGAGGGACGAAGGCCAGGGGAGCAAACCGGAUUAGAUACCCGGGUAGUCCUGGCUGUAAACGAUGCGGACUUUGUGUCGGACAAGCUAUGAGCUUGUCCGGUGCCGGAGGGAAACCGUUAAGUCCGCCGCCUGGGGAGUACGGCCGCAAGGCUGAAACUUAAAGGAAUUGGCGGG
This 414-nucleotide ribosomal RNA is filed under the name uncultured microorganism. Its description in RNAcentral is "bacterial SSU rRNA". It matches the Rfam family "Archaeal small subunit ribosomal RNA", at positions 459 to 872 of the family's 1478-position model. The record is from RNAcentral.